RNAcentral lists this ribosomal RNA (690 nucleotides) under uncultured Clostridium sp. Its description in RNAcentral is "bacterial SSU rRNA". It matches the Rfam family "Bacterial small subunit ribosomal RNA", at positions 146 to 854 of the family's 1533-position model. The record is from RNAcentral. Lineage: Bacteria; Bacillati; Bacillota; Clostridia; Eubacteriales; Clostridiaceae.
GCCCUUAAAGGAAGAUUAAUACCGCAUAAUAUUGUAGCUUCGCAUGAAGCAGCAAUUAAAGGAGCAAUCCGCUAUGAGAUGGGCCCGCGGCGCAUUAGCUAGUUGGUGAGGUAACGGCUCACCAAGGCGACGAUGCGUAGCCGACCUGAGAGGGUGAUCGGCCACAUUGGGACUGAGACACGGCCCAGACUCCUACGGNAGGCAGCAGUGGGGAAUAUUGCACAAUGGGGGAAACCCUGAUGCAGCAACGCCGCGUGAGUGAUGACGGUCUUCGGAUUGUAAAGCUCUGUCUUCAGGGACGAUAAUGACGGUACCUGAGGAGGAAGCCACGGCUAACUACGUGCCAGCAGCCGCGGUAAUACGUAGGUGGCGAGCGUUGUCCGGAUUUACUGGGCGUAAAGGGAGCGUAGGCGGACUUUUAAGUGAGAUGUGAAAUACCCGGGCUCAACUUGGGUGCUGCAUUUCAAACUGGAAGUCUAGAGUGCAGGAGAGGAGAGUGGAAUUCCUAGUGUAGCGGUGAAAUGCGUAGAGAUUAGGAAGAACACCAGUGGCGAAGGCGACUCUCUGGACUGUAACUGACGCUGAGGCUCGAAAGCGUGGGGAGCAAACAGGAUUAGAUACCCUGGUAGUCCACGCCGUAAACGAUGGAUACUAGGUGUGGGGGUUGUCAUGACCUCCGUGCCGCCGCUA